GCCGUCCCACGGCAUAUGGAGUUCCUAGGUUGAGGAUCAUAUCUGAGCUGCAUUUAAAGUCUACACCACAGCUGUGGCCAUGCUGGCUUGACCCACUGUCCUGGGCCGGGGAUCAAACCCUGCAUCCCAACACUCUAGAGAUGCCACUGAUCCUCUUGUGCCCCAGCAGGAGCUCCCAGGUUUUCUGAUUUCAGAGUGGGAGGCAGAUUCUCCCUCCUGUAUGGAGAGGUUGAAUGCUGGAUUGUCCUCUAACAACGAAUCAUUUAAAUUUUCAAAAUGGCAGAGAAAGGAGUUUAUAAUUGAAGGGUGAUGUCCAGAUAAUUUGUGACUCCCUGUUCCUCCCAGGACUCCUCUCCUCUUGUCCUCAAAGCUAGAUGGACUACCUAACAGGGCUGCGUCCAGGACAAGGAAUGAUUAAAGCCAUUUUUGCAAAUAAUCUACCAUCCAGCCUUACCCAUGGAGAACAGUUGCAGUUGGCAGCCUGCAACUCUCCCUUGCUAGGAAAGGUUCUUUUACCACAGGACAGAGGCAGAGAAAACGUAUGCUUUCUGUAGGCACACUAGCAAGUAGGAGAAAAGAACGGACAAGAAGGCUGGGCUGUGCAUUUCUAAUUCUUUCUUCCAAACUCACCCAAAUUCACUCUUCCCCUGGGAAGAAAAUCCAGGUGUGUUGCUGUGAGGGUGCUCCCUCUACUUGGAAGGAAACAACAGGUGUCAAGCAGAAAUGUUCCCCUUUUUCACAAUGACAAUAAGCCCAUUUUUUUUUUCUUUUCUUUUUUAAACGGAUUGUCUAAAACGACCCAGAGGCUGAUGUGCCAUAUGUCCCAUGGCUUUGUCCAAGCACAUUCUUCCACAUUUGAAAACAGAAUUCAAAUCCACUUCAGCAGGAAUUAAUUGAUUCUUUCUCUUCUGGGUGGAAAGAAGGGUGGGAAAAAGAGCACAGAAGCUUAAGGUAUUUGGGGUUGCUGAAGUGAAGAGGGUGAAGGCAGGGAGAGGGGCAAAGCUGAGGUAAAGAGUCCUAGUUGUAUUCAGUAGCCCAAAAAUGGUCAUUUCAGAAGCCUGCAGGGCUGGGCAGGGACCACUGUGAGAGAAGGGGGCUCUUGGGACCGUGGGGCCAGACACCUUGCCCAGAAGGGCAGCUGUUACUCAGUUCCAGCCAACUGUUGCCAUAUGGAAUGCGAGAGCAGAGUUGCCAGAUUUUCCUAUUUUUCAUGAGAGGCUGGAAAUACUAAUUCCUGUGAAAUUUCCCAGUUUUUAAAGAGGGCCACCUCAUUUGCUUUUGAACCACUGCCUAAACGCAUAGUGAUGUUAAUUUGCCCUGUGGCCACAAGGGUGAAUUCAUUCCAAGACCAAGGGACAUCCUAGUAAAGCACUUUACACCGAUUGGUAGAUUUCUUCUUCACAGUGGCCCCUAGGAAGAAAGUACUGCUAUGGCUCCCAUUUGACAGAUGAACAUCUGAGACUGGGCCAUGGUUAAGUAGUUUCUCCAGUAUCUUAGUCCCAGCACCUGGUAGGUGGAAGCCUUUCCAGACAACCCUUCUGUGCCCCUUACCCAUCCAGAUCUAUCUCCCUGCCCCUGCUCUGUUCCACCAGAGCCACCCGUCCUGCCCUUCCCUGGUCCCAGUACCGUAAAAUACUGUAUAGCAGGAACCAUCAAAAUGAGCUGUCAUCUCCGCUCUACUGUAAAUUCUGUGAGGGCAGGGACCACGUAUGUAUCUCCAGUGCUUAGCAGCACCCUGGGCACAAGGUAAGCAUUUGCAUGAAGAUCUUUUUCCUUAAUCAUGAUGCAUUUCAGUUCUCAUGACCUUUGUGCUUUAUAUUCUCUCAUUUGAAGUUAUUUCAAGGCUCCUCAUCAUCCUGAUUACCCUCCUCUCCCUCUCUUUCUCUCCUUCCUGCACUUUCUCCUUUUCCUUCUCUUUUGCUUCUUUUUCCUCUGCAUCUGUCUCCUCUUCCUUUUCCUCUUGUCGUUCUCCGUUUUGCAGGGUCCCUUUUGAAGCAUCGUGCCCAAAACUGCUUUGUUCCUAGUAUUGCGCUGCACAUGACAGUGCUUAAGGGGGAUGUGUUUGAUUCCACAAGUGCCCAGACACAAUGCUUAGGGUAUUACUUAUGUUCUUGGUUUACUUACAUUGUUAGGCUUCCCCAAAACCCUGGAAGGUGCCUGCUACGAUUUUGUCUCUUGUGUUCCUGUUGUUGUUGUUGUUAUUUAUGGCUACACCCAUAGCAUAUGGAAAUUCCCAGGCCCAGGACUGAAUCGGAGCCACAGCUGUAACCUACACUGCAGCUCUGGCAAUGCUGGAUCCUCAACCCACUGUGCCAGGCUGGGACUUGAACCUGCAUCUCCACGGCAACCUGACUUUCUGGAGUCAGAUCGUUAGGCCACUGUACCAUAGCAGGAACUGCAGAUUUCCCCUUUUUCAAGGCAAAGUUGCUUAGACGUGAAUGAAUUCUCCCUGGCCUCACUCUCUCACUGUACUUUUCCGAAUUGCUUGAGCACUUUUUAGCCCCUGUUGUUCGGUCUUUAUCCCAGGCUCUGUGGAAAACAGAGGGAGGUCAAGGAUUUCAGAGUGCUGGACAGGAAGUGGUAGCCUGGAACAGAAUUUAUCUGCUUUCACUCACUACAUCUCCUUUAUCACAAUCCUUUCUCUGCAAAUGGAUGCCGUGAGGCUUUUACAAAUGGGUGAGGGAAAGGCCUAGUAAUGGCUGCUGUGAGCCCACAUUUCCUGAGCCCCUCUCUUGAGGUCUAGUCAUGUCAGGAAGGAUCCAGAUCAACUAUGGAAAGCACCUUCAGUUUCCAAAGUUCAGUUUAAAUCCCAACUCCAAGGCAUUUACCCAUCUUGGAAAAAGCAUGAAGGAUUGCUUUUGUCCUGAAAGCUGAGAGUCAGUAAUGUGUCAUGAGUGUGGGAAAGUCAACUUACAAGAGCCUGCAUGUAUCUGCAGACACAUGAUCCAAUAAUUAUUACACGCACGGGUCGAUGUGCCAAAGAAAUGGGACAAAGUGUCCCUGCAGCCAGCAUUUUUUGUGCCUAAUCAUUUGCUUUCAGUCUCGACAAAAUUUGGUGGAUGUUUAUGGAAGGUCCCCAUGGCCAACAAAUAGAGAGCUUUUAAUUACCUCAUUAAAGUGGGAAAAAAACAGCCCUAAGCCCAAAAUGGUGUCUCCUGAAGUGAACAUGAGAGCGAAAUGCCCACUGCAUCAAAGGCAGAGCUCAGAAAUGGUUGCAGCAAAAUGAAACAGUCUUGGCAGUCCCUCCACAUAAUUUUGUGGGUAUUGGCUUUCCACUGUAGAGAAAUUAUCUGUGGAGUGUGUAAACAAACAGAAGCAAAAGCUUUUUAGAAGCAGUUGUUAGAUAAGAAUAUUCAGUUCUGUUUGACUGACAUGUAUUGCAUCCAAAUUGUUGUUUUUAUUUUAUUUCAACCCCAAUCUGUCCAGAAAGUGAUGUAAGCAAGAAAACAUAUUCAUAUCUCCUCUGCUAAAAAAUCACACUCAUUUAUAGGAAGUCGGGGGGAUCUGUAGGUGGGGGGUUCAGAGACGGAACGAACCCCCAUUUCCCAAGAUGCUCACCACAUAAGAGAGAAGAAAGCAUUUGUAUCACUUAGAGCACUUAGUUGCAAGAACAGAAGUUUGUUUGUUUUAGUUUUCUCUUGCUGUGCAAUAAACUAUCUCAAAACUUAGUAGCUUAAAACAAUUUAUUAUCUGCCAUGGUUCCAUGGUUGACCGGGCUCAGCCACAAGGCUCUGGCUUGGAGACCGUCAUGAGGUUGUGGUCAGAUGCUGGCCGGGCUGCAUUACUUGGGGGCUUACGGGCUGGACAUCAGGAUGGCUCACUCGCAUGGCUGACACCUGAUGCUGGCUGUCACCGGGGACUUCAGUGGAGGCUGGUAAACAGAGAGCCUUCUCUUGGGAAAUCUAAUUCAAAACAAAAUCUUUUCCCAACCCAGAAAACCAGUGCCAAAGGUAGGACAGAAGAAAAUGGUUUUAUUGCUGUAUAAACAUUAAACCAGAAUGUGACGCACUCAUCAGAGGCAAUCUGUUGAGAGAUGGCAAAGAUGGAAAGAAAUCUCCCCCUUGCAGACAGCCAAGCAGAUACAGCCUAUUAUUUCCAUGUUCUCAAGAUAAACAAUAAUUAGUCCUCAGCUAAGAAGACUUGAUGGCACCAUUUGUCACACAUAGUCCAUCCUAACUUUACUUGGUAAUUGUGGUGACCAUCUAGUCAAUUGACUUUGUCCAGAGGAGUAAAAAAGUUCCAACAUCUUUGUGGUAGGAAAUUGUUUUGUAACUUGGAAUGAAGUGCCUGCUCAAGGUAGGAUCCUACUCUCUCAGAAACUUUGAGAAAGAUAAAGAGAGAGACAGAGAGACGCUAUUUUUUUAAAAUGGGUAAGAUUCAAAGAAAUAGGGUUAUAAAAUUGACGAAAGACCUAUCUAGGUUUUUUGUGAGGUUUCUUUUUUUGGGGAGGGGAGCUGUGCUCAUGGCAUGUGGAAUUUCCUGAGCCAGAGACCGAACCUGCACCACAGCAGCAAAUGAAACCAAUGCCUUGACAACACCGGAUCCUUAACCCUCAGCGCCACAAGAGAACUCCUCUAGUUUUCUAAAGUAAAUGCUCCAAGAAAAAAGAAGGGAAGAAGAGAAAUCUCUACUCUUAUUUUCAAUAGGGACAAUUAAGCCUCUUCUUUUUAAUGUGAUUUAUCCUUACUCUACACAGCCUCUCCAUGUGGCUAAAGCUUCCUUCGGGGUGGCAGCUACGUUCCAAAUUGAACCUUCCCAAGAUGGGGUGGGCACAAUUGACAUGCAAGGGGUCUCAAGACUUAGCUUUGGAAGUCACACAGUAUCCCUCUGCCUUGUUGGGUUCUGGAUGAGCCCAGAUUCUGGGCUAGCCAGGAUUCAAGGAGGUGGACAAUACCAGGAGUUGAGGCUCCAAGGGAGUCAUCUUUGAAGAUCGGCUACUGUAACACUGUUGGAGCUUUGAAUAGAAAAGUAUGUAAAAAAAAAACAGGUGACAUUGAGACCUCCCAGGAAACUGUAAGAAUCAGGCUUGGAAGCUAUACAUUCAGGAACAGUGCUCAAACCACAAUGCAUGGCUGAUCGAGCAGAACCCAUUAACGUCAUGCCUGGGCAUAG
This 5112-nucleotide long non-coding RNA is filed under the name Sus scrofa (pig). Its description in RNAcentral is "lncRNA (ENSSSCG00050001007.1)". Lineage: Eukaryota; Metazoa; Chordata; Mammalia; Artiodactyla; Suidae. The record is from RNAcentral.